GCGGGUGUAGCUCAAUUGGAUAGAGCACCUGACUACGGAUCAGGAGGUUUGGGGUUCGAAUCCCUACACCCGUG
RNAcentral lists this transfer RNA (74 nucleotides) under Phycisphaera sp. RNAcentral describes it as "tRNA-Arg". It matches the Rfam family "tRNA". Rfam says of the family: Transfer RNA (tRNA) molecules are approximately 80 nucleotides in length. Lineage: Bacteria; Pseudomonadati; Planctomycetota; Phycisphaerae; Phycisphaerales; Phycisphaeraceae. The record is from RNAcentral.